Molecule: unclassified non-coding RNA, 6612 nt
Filed under: Gigantopelta aegis
Lineage: Eukaryota; Metazoa; Mollusca; Gastropoda; Neomphalida; Peltospiridae
Description: cysteine sulfinic acid decarboxylase-like, transcript variant X1
Source: RNAcentral
CAAAAGUUAUAUCCUGCUACUAUACGUAUAUGACUUUGCUUUAUCCGUCAUCAUAACCUAUCGAUAGAAGCAGUGGUUGCAGGAUAAACAAACACAACUGUACAAUCCAGUCAGAUAAUUCUUGCAAGAUGGCACAAAACGGCACAACGGAGAUUCGUCAGAAUAGUGUUCCCAAGAUGGCUGCAAAUGGCUUUGUUUCGAAAGAAAAGUCUGUUAAAACAUCCUCAGAACCUGGUGGAACAGCAAGGUUUCCAGCAGAGGAGGAACGUUUCCUGCGAGAUCUGUUUGAAAUGAUUUUGAAAGACGCUGUCAAGGAUUCGUUAAAUCCAAACAGUAAGGUGGUUAAUUUCAAGCACCCCCAGGAACUGACGAGUCUGUUGGAUCUGGAAAUCGACCACAAGAGGACGUCCAACGAGGAACUUAUCAAGCUGUCGCGCGAGAUCAUUAAAUACAGUGUGAAAUCAGGUCAUCCUCAUUUCUUUAACCAGCUCUAUGGAGGAUUCGACACAUACGGUCUAGCAGGGGCGUGGCUGACGGAUGCACUAAAUACCAGCCAGUACACUUUUGAAGUAGCGCCCGUGUUCACUUUGAUGGAGAAGACGGUGCUAGGCAAGAUGGGUCGUUUGGCUGGUUUCAAUGAUGGAGAUGGGAUAUUCUGUCCAGGUGGGUCUGUCUCUAACAUGUACGCGAUAAACUUGGCACGCUUUAAGAAGUUUCCUUCCGUCAAGACGGAUGGCAUGGCUGGUCUUCCCAAGAUGUGCAUCAUUACGUCGGAGGAGGGACACUACUCUAUGAAGAAGAUGGCCGCCACUCUUGGUAUGGGAAUGAACAGCAUCAUUCCAGUGCAGUGUGACGACCAAGGUCGAAUGAAGGUGGACAAGGUGGAGGAGGCGAUCAAAACAGCUCAGAAAAAUGGAAUGGUUCCAAUAAUGGUGAACGUGACAUCGGGCACGACGGUUCUGGGAGCGUACGAUCCGCUGGACGCCAUAGCAACCGUGUGCAAGAAACACGGAAUCUGGGUCCACUGUGACGGGGCCUGGGGCGCGGGCUGCCUGCUGUCGAAGAACCUCAAACACCUCAUGAAAGGAAUCGAAAAAGCUGAUUCCCUGACGUGGAACCCGCACAAGAUGAUGGGAUCACCGCUACAAACAUGUGCCUUCCUAACACAGCACAAGAAUCUGCUGGCGGAGUGUCAUUCUGCGAAGGCGAAGUACCUGUUCCAACAGGACAAGUUCUACGACGUGAGCUACGACACAGGCGACAAGUCCAUACAGUGCGGCCGCAAGGUCGACGUGCUCAAACUGUGGAUGAUGUGGAAGGCCAAGGGAGAUAACGAGUUCGCCAGAGACAUCGAAAACAUAUUCGACUGUGCAAGGUACUUGACAGAAAAACUUAAAAAAACAGAAGGGUUUCGAUUGGUUUUGCAAAAGCCCGAAUGCACCAAUGUUGGUUUCUGGUACAUACCGCCCAGUUUACGAGGUCAGAAGGAGACCAAGGAGUGGUGGGACAAGGUUUCCAAGGUUGCACCUGCGAUAAAGCGGCUGAUGACGGAACAAGGCACGCUUCUGGUUGGCUAUCAGCCAGACCGAGAGUGGGUCAACUUCUUCCGGAUGGUCAUCUCGAACACCGCGACCACUCACCAAGAAAUGGACUUCGUAGUAACGGAGAUCGACAGGCUCGGCAGAAGUUUGUGACUCUUGUCAGAAGAUCUAGCUGUUUAGUUACAAAACGGAAUGAUCUGAUAGUUUUCUGAUAGAGGUGAUGAUUAAGCUGCAAAUUUUAAAAACAAUUGGUGAAUUUUAUUUUAAAAUGACAGACACUCGCCAGAUUCACCCGUUGCGAAUUUUAAAAAUAAUUGGCAAAUUUUAUUUUAAAGUGAGAGACACUCGCCAGAUUCACCAACUGCAAAUUUUAUAAACAAUUUUAAUAUAUUUUGGCUGACCCUAGUUUUUUAACACUAAAACAUAUUUUUCAAUAUUAGAGCCAUUUUUGAUAAUUAAAAUCAGAUAUUACUUAGAUUUUAUUGGAUAGAUUAUCCAUUUCCAUACAUUCGAAGUGUUUCUGAUCAUCAUGCCUGGGCAUUGUAAAACAUUUUAGAAUCUGAACUCAACACUCAGACUUUAUCGUUAUGGCAACCCCAUACAAACAGCAUGCGUGUGAUGGCAUUUGAGAUUCAAUCUAGACUCUUAAAAACUUUUAUAAGCACGAGUCCUGGUGUGUCUUUAAUUCCAUCAAAUGAAUUUAUCUUAUUUUUAAAAAUGCACCUCUGAGAAGUAAUGGUUAUGAAGAUGACCUCUUGCCUACUUACAUGUACUGAGGGUACAUGUACUGACGUUUCAACGUCACAGACUCUGUUGUAACCUUGUCCAGAUGUGUUCGAGGUGUCUAUGUAAACCAGACUUAGUGUCCAUUUUCACAGGUCGAAACUAGGGUCUGUGACUUUAAUGUGAUGAAAAUAUUUCAUGUAAUAAUUGAUAUUUUGUUGGACAAUAACUGUAUGUUUCUGUUAUAUUUGAUAAUCAGGCGAAAGUUCCUGCUCACCCAGAGUUAGCCCUGCGAUUCAUUAUUCAUUCUGUUUCAGGCUUGAAUAAAUAAACGGUGAUUAAUCUAGGUAAAAGCAUUAUUGGCAGAAGUUAGGGGAUUUCGUUUACUAACAUGAGCUCAAAAUGGCUGUUUUAACUAAACAUAAUAUAUAAAUAAUCAACAGGGCCAUAGCUAGUGGGGGCAAAGGGAAGCAGUUGCCCCGAGAAACACCCCCCCCCCCCAAAAGAUAUAUAAAUAAAUAAAUUACUGGUUAUUGAUAUUAAUAUUUUAAGUAUGUAACCUCCCUAAAAUAGCUGUAAAAUGGUAUUUUAGUGUCUUUAGAUUUUAAAAUUUCCUUAUCCAUUCUGUUUUAGUCUUAAAUAAAAAAAUAAAAAAAUUGUAAAUAAUUUCAGUUUGGUUUGACGUAAGAAGAAAAGUAAAAGUGUUUAGGAAAGAACAAAAAAACCCACCCUAUUUUUGUGUGCAAUUUCGAAAAUGAUCGGCUCAGAAAUAAAUAACUUGUAUAGUAAAUUUCAUAGUCUGAAAAAAGGCGUUCUCUGUGGGACAGACUAUAUGUAAAAGCAUUAUUGGUAGAGGUUAAGGAAGUUUUUUUACUGUAGUCCCUUUUUUAAAAAUAAAAUAAAUAAUGCAAAACAAUAUCUUUAUUUUUGGGCUAUGAAAAUUCUGAAAGAUAUAAAACAUGAUUGUUUCACUUUGACAAUAUCAGAUUGAGUGGAAGCUGUCUAAACUGGACAUUCACGGAAUCAAGUAAAAAGUCUGGUUUUAAGCGUAGUUUUAUUUAAAAUGACACCCUGAAAAAUGUCUGCUAUUGGAGGGGGGGGGGGGGGGAAUUCUGGUUUAUGGAGGGUCCAGUUAUGACAGGUUCAGGACUUCUGGAAUUGUUAUAAAAAAUCCACUAGCCUUUGGAUCAGUGAUUUUAAAAAUUUACUAGCAAUGAAUAAAAAAUUUCACUAGCCCUACUUUAAAUAAGUAAAACGGUAUUACCGUCGGUAAUAAUCAUACAUGUAUUUGUCACCUAAAGAUGGAGAUGGAGCUUAAAAAGCCUUAGAUUGGGGGUGGGAAGAGGGGGCAGGGUAUUCAUAUUUACAAAAUAAGACUUAAAUGUAGUAAUAAUCAGACAUGUCACCUAAAGAGGGAGAUAGAGGUUAAAAAGCCUUAGAUUGGGGGUGGGAAGAGGGGGCAGGGUAUUCAUAUUUACAAAAUAAGACUUAAAUGUAGUAAUAAUCAGACAUGUCACCUAAAGAGGGAGAUAGAGCUUAAAAACCCUUAGACUGGGGGUGGGAAGAGGGGGCAGGGUAUUCAUAUUUACAAAAUAAGACUUAAAUGCAGCUUUUGACAAGGUGUUUUUUUUUCACCAGUCGUUGGGCUAGUUAUGGUAAUUUUAAUUUUAAUACAUUUUUUAAAAUCCAGAUUUUUAUUUUUUGUACUUUGGCAGGGUUUUCUCAUAGACCGUCAUAAUUUACACUCGGUGCAGCUAAAUGAGAACAUGUGCUGUGAUACUCCCAAUCUCGGGCUGAAUGUGGCUUUGGAUUGAAAUGACUUCUCUGAAUAAACACGGGUUUUACUGUGUAACAUUAGAAGUGUAAGGAGAUAGGUAGGUCAUAAUACAAUAAUAAUAUAUCAUAUUCAGAUAUGUGGAGCACAUAAUGUACAUUGCAUAAUUUAGACCAUAUUUAAGUAGAUCCAAUAGCCAAUGAUUAAUAAAUCAAUGUGCUCUAGUGAUGGUGUAAAACAAACUUAACUUGUUGAAAAAGCUAUAGGUAAUUAUUGAUUAAUGAAUUUUCCUAAUACUGAAUUACCAAAUGUUUGACAUCCAAUAGCCGAUGAUUAAUAAAUCAAUGUGCUCUAGCAGUGUUGUUAAACAAACCAAACUUCUUCUUUUUUAAAUAUUGAAUUGUACAUGUAGUUAUCUCCCUUGAAUGACAAUCCCAGUAAAAAUUCAGUAAGGUUAACGGGAUUUGUGUACAAAUAAAAAUAUAUGUAUUUAGGCUACAUAUACCAUUAGUGUAUUACUAUGUAUUCAACAAAGCCAGCUUGUCAGAUCUAAGCAAAGUAAAAAUUAUGUGGAUUCCGAGAACACUUUUCAGAUAGAAGAACUGCAAAUCAUGAAAAUAUAUGUAACAUGAUAUUAUUGGGUUGGGACAGGUUACACACUAAAAUAUAUCUUGCUCGCGUUAAUUUUAUGAUUUAUAGUAUAUUGAUAAUGACUUUCAGAUGAAAAAAAAUCUUUAAAUUUUAUUUUAAAAAUAAAUAAAAAAAUUAAUUUUAUAAUUUUGAUUAAAAUACAUUCAGAUGCACUUUUCAUUGCGUUUUUACUCCACAAAUGAGACCUUUGCACUCAGUAAGCACAUAUAUAUAGAUAUAUAUAUAUAAAUAGGUGUAAUGAUUAAUGGUGUGUAACAGUUUUGUACUUUACCAUACAUAAUUCAGGUGCCGAUCUAGGAAUGAUUGCAUAUGGGGGCAGGUUGGGGGAGAGGAGGUCUACAUGUAACUAUAUUACUAUUGUAUAUUAAUGGUGAAUGCACUUUUAAGUGGCAAACAAAAUUUGAUCCAGGAAUAUCUGUAGGUGGUGGUGGGGGGAGGAGAUGGGUUUCUAUAUGUAACUACUUGAAUGGAACUUGUAUAUUAACGGUGAAUGCAUUUUAAAGUGGGGAGGGGGACCCCCUCAAAAUGCCCUGGAUCUGCACCUUGUUGUGUAAUACAGUGAUUACACCGAUUGAUUGGAGUUUGACGCCCAAUAGCCGAUAUAUUUCUCGUGCUGUGGUGUCGAUAAACAUUCAUUCAUUCAUUCAUUCAUUCAUUCCAAUUGACUGGACUUUCUAUGUUACAAUAAUGAAAAUGAUCACAAUAAUAAUAUUUCUUUUCAACAUCACCUGUCCUCAAACAAAUGCAUUUUCCCCUAAGGAUAGUAGUCUGGUUCGAACAUCCCAACAACCAAUGGGAUGGCUUAACAUUCUUCAACUGCACACCACUUCCUGUCCCGGUCACUCCAAGUUUUCUCCAUGUCUUUUGUAUGCAUCUCGAAUAAAGGUCACGAGAUGAUAAUUUUGAUUGGUUGUCGUGAAUGUAAUUUGCACCAGAUGUAUUCACCUGUUACUUUGAUUACUGUUUCAAUAUGCAGUUACUUCUAAAGAGAGGAAGUCCACACUCAAUAAUUGGUAUUCCAUAUACAGUGAAACCCCCUCUAAACCGGACACCCUCAAACCAAGUAAAAUGUCUGGUUUUAACAGGUAUCUAUCUGGUUUAGAGAGGUUAAGCUAUGUAUGGAUUUCGAAAAAGGGACCAUGAAAAAUGUCCGGCUUUUUUUUUCUGCUUUUUUUUUCUGCUUUUUUUUUCUUUCUUUUUUAGGGAAUUCCGGUUUACAAAGGGUCUGGUUUUGGGAAGUUUCACUGUAUUUGAAAUCAGGGGUCGAAAUAGUGUCAUCCCAACCAGUUUUUGCCAGUCAACAUCUUUUUCCUUUUUUUCUUUUUUUUCACUGUCCUGCUGGCAAUUAUUUUAUGUUUAUAUUAGUUUUGAGUGAAACAUGUUUGGUCCGGCAGAUUUUGAUUCGGGCUGGUAGAAUUCAUAGCUUGCCGGACCUAAUCUCCAAUUUCAAGCCCUGGAAACAAGUAGCUGUUAGUUCCCAGUCCAACCAGAUGGGACUAGGUUUUGUAACCAUCCUUCUGUCUGUUUGUCUGUACAUCUGUCUGUCUGUACAUCUGUCUUUCUGUCUGUUUGUCCCUAUGUUGCAUAGACUCGCUAUGCUUAUAGAUAGCGAGCUGAAAUUUUAUGUAUAGCUUUUUUGUGUCCCGUUACAGUUCAAGUUUGACUUUCAGGGCGAUUUACUCAUUGUUCACAGAGUUAUGUCCCUUGAAGUUGGGAGAUAGAAAAAUAUGUUAGACCCGGUAUGGGACAUGUAUUGGUUUAGCAGUACUCACAGAAUGUUUGUGUUUUUUAACAGAGAAAGUCUACCCUUAGUUGAUAAUCCCUGUAUUUAUGUGUUUAUAGUAUAAACUGAAUUAUUUGUGUAUAUAUAUAUAUAUAUAUAUAUUAGUGUUACCAUGUAACAUUAAACAUAUUGGUACUUUA